AUACGGAGGGUGCAAGCGUUAUUCGGAAUCACUGGGCGUAAAGGACGCGUAGGCGGGUUGGCAAGUCAGAUGUGAAAUCCUACAGCUUAACUGUAGAACUGCAUUUGAAACUGCUAACCUAGAGUAUGGGAGGGGGAGAUGGAAUUAGUGGUGUAGGGGUAAAAUCGGUAGAUAUCACUAGGAAUACCGAAAGCGAAGGCGAUCUCCUGGAACAUAACUGACGCUAAGGCGUGAAAGCGUGGGGAGCAAACAGGAUUAGAAACCCUAGUAGUCC
RNAcentral lists this ribosomal RNA (274 nucleotides) under uncultured bacterium. Its description in RNAcentral is "partial 16S ribosomal RNA". It matches the Rfam family "Bacterial small subunit ribosomal RNA", at positions 523 to 796 of the family's 1533-position model. The record is from RNAcentral.